Molecule: ribosomal RNA, 253 nt
Filed under: uncultured bacterium
Lineage: Bacteria
Description: partial 16S ribosomal RNA
Rfam family: Bacterial small subunit ribosomal RNA
Source: RNAcentral
UACGUAGGGGGCGAGCGUUGUCCGGAAUUAUUGGGCGUAAAGAGCGUGUAGGCGGUCCGGUAAGUCCGCUGUGAAAGUCCAGGGCUCAACCCUGGAAUGCCGGUGGAUACUGCCGGGCUAGAGUCCGGAAGAGGCGAGUGGAAUUCCUGGUGUAGCGGUGAAAUGCGCAGAUAUCAGGAGGAACACCAAUGGCGAAGGCAGCACUCUGGGACGUGACUGACGCUGAGACGCGAAAGCGUGGGGAGCAAACAGG